Molecule: non-coding RNA, 73 nt
Organism: Zootermopsis nevadensis
Lineage: Eukaryota; Metazoa; Arthropoda; Insecta; Blattodea; Termopsidae
Source: Rfam
GCCACGGUGGUCUAGCGGUCAGAACACUAGCCUUGUAAGCCUUAGGUCCCGGGUUCAAUUCCCGGUGGUGCUC